AAAUGAGCUGCCUCUAGGUAGGAGGCUAAUUUCAUCUGUAAAAAAAAAAGAACCUACGGCACCUCCUACAGUUGCUGGUAGACAAAGGGCGCCGCUUUAAUACAGUGCCUAACUCAAGAAGAUAACCAAAUAUUUGUUGGAUGGCAAUUCAAUGAGUGAGAAGUGUUGGGGAAAAAAAAAGGUCUCCCAGGAAGACUGAAAAUCUGCUAAAUUUACUGGCAUAUUUGGAUGAAAGAGAUGAAAACUUCCUAGUGUAGAAUCUGGAUAAAGAAAUAAUAAAUAGUGUAUUUUUCUGAGGA
Molecule: long non-coding RNA, 299 nt
Organism: Canis lupus familiaris (dog)
Lineage: Eukaryota; Metazoa; Chordata; Mammalia; Carnivora; Canidae
Exons: 3
Source: RefSeq, a predicted model, not a curated record